AUGGUCAACCGAGUUAAAGUGUGUUUACGGUUUCUGAUGUAGACGUGCUGUUUUUUUCAGAAUGUAUGGUGGUGUGUGGUUUUAUGCAACUGCAUCCGUUUUGUUUUGCAGUCUGCAAACAACCAAACAAACUAAAACUCGUGCAAUUAUGCAAUAUAGAUUGAAACGGCUCUCGAAGAUCUUACGUCUGCCACUUUGAGCGUCUUGUAUAUUUAAAUCCUGUGUGACUCGAUGUGACAAUGUCUACUCUGCUGCCCCCUAGAGCCCGUCUCCGGUACAAACGUCAAGGCGACUUGCGCAGUAGAUGGAUGGGUCACGCUUAGGUGCUCUGUAACCGGGGGAGACGACGUCACGUUCCGCUGGACGCUGAACGCCACUUCCGAAAACAGCACCGUUUCAAAAGAGCGAAACGUGUCUUUUUACAAACUCACACCUGCGAAGCUCGUCUGUGAGGUAGAAAAUGCUGUCAGCAGUCAAAACACUACGGCUGCUGCUGUAACAUGCAGAGAAUAUAUUUCAAUUUUCAUCACUCUGGGAGCUUCUGUCUUGAUUGUCCUAUUUUGCGUGGCGCUUUGGAGCAUCAAGAAGAAGCUGCCAAAGAAAGGGGAAGAUCUCGAAGACGAUGUUUACGUCACAAUGAAAGGUUCCUGUGAGGCUAAGAAGGAAGCGAAGGCUGAUAUCAUCUCCAAACUCGAUACGUGCACACUUCAGCCAGUAAGAGCAAACGACUCUGGAAAAACAGAGGAUGCAGAGGACAUAUAUGUUUAACUAUCUGUCUGUAUAUACAACAGUGGGACAAACAAAAAGACCCAAGGAAGCAUUUAAAUAUAUGUUCUGGACUGGAAACCUGUAUUGAUAGUGUAAUUAAUUUUGUGUAUUGCUUAUUUUGUUAUAAAGAUAAAGAUGCUUUAUUGUCAUUGUACAAAUACAAUGAGAUUUCGUUUGGAGUGCGCCAGCAGAUACACAGUAAAAAGUUACAAUAAAAUCCAAAGAAUAAAAUAUGUAUACACACACGCACAUGUAGGGUAAACAUAUCCUU
Molecule: non-coding RNA, 1039 nt
Organism: Paramormyrops kingsleyae
Lineage: Eukaryota; Metazoa; Chordata; Actinopteri; Osteoglossiformes; Mormyridae
Source: RefSeq, a predicted model, not a curated record